Molecule: ribosomal RNA, 253 nt
Filed under: uncultured bacterium
Lineage: Bacteria
Description: partial 16S ribosomal RNA
Rfam family: Bacterial small subunit ribosomal RNA
Source: RNAcentral
UACGUAGGGUGCGAGCGUUAAUCGGAAUUACUGGGCGUAAAGCGUGCGCAGGCGGUUCGUUGUGUCGGCGGUGAAAGCCCCGGGCUUAACCUGGGAACGGCCGUUGAAACUGGCGAACUGGAGUGUAGCAGAGGGGGGUGGAAUUCCGCGUGUAGCAGUGAAAUGCGUAGAGAUGCGGAGGAACACCGAUGGCGAAGGCAGCCCCCUGGGCUAACACUGACGCUCAGGCACGAAAGCGUGGGGAGCAAACAGG